RNAcentral lists this unclassified non-coding RNA (1868 nucleotides) under uncultured fungus. RNAcentral describes it as "sequence contains 18S rRNA gene, ITS1, 5.8S rRNA gene, ITS2, 28S rRNA gene". Lineage: Eukaryota; Fungi. The record is from RNAcentral.
GUCAAGGCGUGCUUUUGCGGGAUAUGGGCUACUCCGACCGCCUGUCGACUGGACACUUCUACUUUGCCUGAUUGACAAUUCUGGUAUUUACAGCUCAAUUCGACCGAUUCUGCCUUGACGUCAAUCCGUUCCAAUGUUACCGUCCUACAGUGGAGGGCGGCAAUUGGGGCCUAAUCCUCUGCCGAGUAUGUGCCCGCCAGCGACCGUCCUGGGUUGCCGCAUUAGUGUGGACGAAAAUCUCGUUCUCUAUGAAGUUGCCGGCAUCGAUCCCAUUCAACUUCGCGAGGUGAACGCGUAUCUGGGCGUUAGCUUCAGCAUGACGAAGUUCUUCUCCCGGGAGCGCAUGCGCCAGUACAUUGAAUGGGCCGGUGCGAAUGUCUCAGAUUUUCUCAUCAUUGUCGCUGAUCACUUCGAAGGCUACAACAUUGAGGUGUUCAAACGGUCAGAGCCUGAAACUGCCUUUCCGAAGGCAUUUAAUGUCGGCUAUCAGCUGCUAAAGGGAUAUGUCCGGGCAAUCCCGACAGAACUGACUUCCAGGGUUCGCGUCGUACUUGCCUCGGAGCUUCUGAUCGAGCAGGAGUGCAUCGAGAUCCUCGAUGCGAUACGAAAACUGGGCGCACGGUCGCCCGAGUUCGUUAGAGACUGCCGGACGUGGAUUCUCGAACUCAUAUCGGGCAAGCUGGAGGAUUCGGGCAUUCGCGACGGACAGCUCGAAUCUGCGCUGGAACUGCUCCUCAAUUACAUGUAUGAGGAGAUAGCCAUUAUCGCGCACGUGUCGCACUGGAUGGUGCAACCGUAUCCGCUGGCAAUCUUCCCAUAUGAACCUCGACAGGUCUUCACGGAUCUCUACAACGGAAAAUACGGCGACAUGACGAGCGUGACCAAGGGCGAGCCAUUCCGAUUCGCCAGGCUCGCUCCGCCAUCCUUUGUUCGAGCUUCCGCAGCGCGAGGCGCUUCAGGGUAGGCUGGCUGACGCGGUGCGCCGCUCACGAAGGGAGGUGGGACGAUGGAAGAGCCUGACAGGAUGGCGCCGGAUACACAAGAGCCGGUCCCUGAGAUUACGGAAGCGGAGUGGGACGACCUGCUGACCAACAUCCGCGCAGGCGCAUGUACGCCAUUCAUCGGCGCAGGCGCGUCAAUGCCAACCCUCCCUUCAGGCUCGCAAGUGGCGAAGGAAUGGACUGACAAGUAUAACUACCCUCUGGCUGAUAGCUCCGAUCUGGCGCGCGUCGCUCAGUACCUUGCGGUUACGGUCGCGCCUAUGUUUCCGAAAACCCUGAUCAAAUCGCGCUUUCAGGAAUUGGCUCCGCCGGAUUUCGAAGUCCCAACCGAACCACACGGAUUGCUAGCCGACCUGUCGCUGCCCAUAUAUGUGACCACUAACUAUGACGAUUUCAUGUUCCGGGCACUGAAGGCAAAGGGCAGGAAUCCGCAGCGCGAGGUCUGCCGUUGGAACAGGGAAGUCCGCCGAUUGCGCUCCGUGUUCGACGAUGCCGGGUACGUGCCCAGCGUCGAGCAGCCGCUCGUGUUUCACUUACACGGUCACCUGGAGCUUCCACGGUCCAUGGUUCUAACCGAAGACGACUACAUCGAUUUCCUCAUGAACGUGAAGGAUGCGAUCCCCCCGCCUGUGGAACGGGCGUUCUCCGAUGCAUCCGUGCUCUUUCUCGGCUACCGUCUCGCGGAUGUCAAUUUCCGGCUUCUCUUCCGCACCAUGGUGCAGUACAUGGAGCGAACGAACCUCUAUGGUCAUGUGUCCGUCCAGUUACUGCCUGGUGAGAUACCUCAGGAAAGGCGGCCUCAGGCGCUCACGUACCUCAACAACUACUACGAGAAGUUGAGUAUUCACGUCUACUGGGGCUCGUGUG